GACGAACGCUGGCGGCGUGCCUAACACAUGCAAGUCGAGCGGAGGUACAAUGAGAGCAAUCGAGAUGUACUUUAGCGGCGGACGGGUGAGUAACGCGUGAGCAACCUGCCUAUCACAGGGGGAUAAGGCGGCGAAAGCCGCUCUAAUACCGCAUGAGACCCUCAAAGCGAUGCAAUGGGGGUGAAAGGAGCGAUCCGGUGAGAGAUGGGCUCGCGUCCGAUUAGGUAGUUGGUAGGGUAAGGGCCUACCAAGCCAAUGAUCGGUAGCCGGCCUGAGAGGGUGAACGGCCACAUUGGAACUGAGAGACGGUCCAAACUCCUACGGGAGGCAGCAGUGGGGAAUCUUGCGCAAUGGGCGAAAGCCUGACGCAGCAACGCCGCGUGCGGGAUGAAGGCCUUCGGGUUGUAAACCGCUUUCAGCAGGGACGAAAAUGACGGUACCUGCAGAAGAAGCCCCGGCUAACUACGUG
RNAcentral lists this ribosomal RNA (469 nucleotides) under uncultured bacterium. RNAcentral's name for it is "bacterial SSU rRNA". It matches the Rfam family "Bacterial small subunit ribosomal RNA", at positions 28 to 507 of the family's 1533-position model. The record is from RNAcentral.